UCCCGAAAACGCUGAUUGUGGGGCUUUUUGACACAUAUUAUAGAUUUGCUGAGCCAUCGUUGUGAUAGUGUUUUCAAAUGCUUGGAAAUGACCUUCUAAUUGAUUUAUGACCAAUUUUAUCGAGUGACUUUUGAAGUCCUUAUUUGUAGAGGGUGUUGACAAAUUGCUGCUCGUAACGCGGAUAUCACCGCUGCAUUCAGAAAGUUUCAAAAUGGCCACUUGUAACACUGUUGUUUUACUACUGUGUCUGUUAAUUAAUGUCGACCAAGUGCUAACCAGUGACUAUGUUUUCAAUGAUCAACAAACACCAGCAUUUAAAGACUAUGAGAUGUUUCAAGAUAUUUUCCCUUUAACUGUGGGAAACUUCACGGACUUAGUGAUAAAUCGCCCCGACCCGUGGAUCGUCAUUUUUCACAAGGGGAUGCUGGAGCGAGGCUGGAAGUCCCUGGCUGUCAGCUUGAGGGGCGUGGUCUGGGUGGGCAUGGUCGACCUCAACAACAACAAACAACUGCUGCAACAAAUUGGUUACAGUGCUGACAACGACAGUGAUGCGCGUGUGUACAAAUAUGGCACCCAGAAAACAAAAUUAAAAUCUUGGCGUCGAGUUAGCGACCCCAACACUGCGAGAUCAACGGCUGUCAGUUCCAUCCCAGAUACAACCUUGCAGCUGACCUCAGAUGACCUUGAAGACUUUUUGAUUGACAGUUUCAUGUCGAAGCCGUCCCGAUUCCCUGCUGUCUUCAUAACAGAGGAGAGGGAAUCUUCAGCCAUGAUGAAAGCUCUGUCACUUCGCUUCCAAAAAUACUUCAAUUUUGGCAAGAUUGCGCAGCCAUCUUCAGCAGGUCUGCGUGGACUGGGAAUGGAGAGGUUUUCUAAGGACAUUCCUACUCUGCUUGUUCUCAUGGCAAAUGGAGAAAAUAUGGAAUCCCCACAAUUCAAUGCCAUACCCUUUGAUAAGAAAGCAAUGGGAGAGCUGAAUUAUCCAAACAUUUUAGCGUUUUUGUUUUCUGUUAAUCGUGAGUUCCGUCACCUGAUGCCGGGGGAGAAUGGGUCUGAUCGGAGAGAGACAGUGGAAAUGGAUGACAUAGUAAAGAUUGAAUCGCUGAGGUUCGAUGUCAAGGGCCUCCAUCACUCCACGGAGAGCAAGAAGGUUCUUUAUGAGGAAGUCAGUGAGCUGCACAUGGAAGAAACCAUCCAGAAAAGAUUACCUGAUGAAUUAUAGAGCAAUAUCUACAUAUGACAACAGCCAUAAUGUCUACAUAUUAUGUUGUCUGAUAUAUAUCUACAUGUGAAGUUAACAGACAUAAUGUCUACAUGUGAAGUUAACAGCCAUAAUGUCUACAUGAUAUUAACAGUCAUAAUGUCUACAUGAUGAUGUUAACAGUCAUUAUAUCUACAUGAUGUUAACAGUCGUAAUGUCUACAUGAUGAUGUUAACAGUCAUUAUAUCUACAUGAUGAUGUUAACAAUCAUUAUAUCUACAUGUGAAGUUAACAGUCAUAAUGUCUACUUGAUGAUGUUAACAGUCAUAAUGUCUACAUGAUGAUGUUAAUAGUCAUUAUAUCUACAUGAUGAUGUUAACAGUCAUUAUAUCUACAUGAUGUUAACAGUCGUAAUGUCUACAUGAUGAUGUUAACAGUCAUAAUGACUACAUGAUGUUAACAGUCGUAAUGUCUACAUGAUGAUGUUAACAGUCAUUAUAUCUACAUGAUGAUGUUAACAGUCAUUAUAUCUACAUGUGAAGUUAACAGUCAUAAUGUCUACUUGAUGAUGUUAACAGUCAUUAUAUCUACAUGUGAAGUAGACAGUCAUAAUAUCUACAUGAUGAUGUUAACUGUCAUUAUAUCUACAUGAUGAUGUUAACAGUCAUUAUGUCUACAUGAUGAUGUUAACAGUCAUAAUGUCUACAGGAUGAUGUUAACAGUCAUUAUAUCUACAUGGUGUUAACAGUCAUAAUGUCUACAUGAUGAUGUUAACAGUCAUAAUAUCUACAUGAUGUUAACAGUCAUUAUAUCUACAUGAUGAUGUUAACAGUCAUUAUAUCUACAUGAUGAUGUUAACAAUCAUUAUAUCUACAUGUGAAGUUAACAGUCAUAAUGUCUACUUGAUGAUGUUAACAGUCAUAAUGUCUACAUGAUGAUGUUAAUAGUCAUUAUAUCUACAUGAUGAUGUUAACAGUCAUUAUAUCUACAUGUGAAGUUAACAGUCAUAAUGUGUACUUGAUGAUGUUAACAGUCAUUAUAUCUAUAUGUGAAGUCAACAGUCAUAAUGUCUACAUGGUGAUGUUAACAGUCAUUAUAUCUACAUGUGAAGUUAACAAACAUUAUAUCUACAUGUGAAGUUAACAGCCAUAAUGUCUACAUAAUGUAUGAUGUUAGCCGUCAUUAUUGGUAGGUAUGAUGUUAACAGCCAUGAUAUGUAGGUAUGAUGUUAACAGGCAUUAUAUGUAUGAUGUUAACAGCCAUUAUAUAGAGGUAUGAUGUUAAUAGCCAUUAUAUGUAUGAUGUUAACAGCCAUAAUAUGUAUGAUGUAAACAGCCAUUAUAUGUAUGAUGUAAACAGCCAUUAUAGGUAUGAUGUUAACGGCCAUUAUAUGUAGGUAUGAUGUUAACAGCCAUUAUAUGUAUGAUGUUAACAGCCAUUAUAUAGAGGUAUGAUGUUAAUAGCCAUUAUAUGUAUGAUGUUAAAAGCCGUUAUAUGUAUGAUGUUAACAGCCAUUAUAUGUAGGUGUGAUGUUAACAGCCAUUAUAUGUCGGUGUGAUGUUAACGGUCAUUAUGUAUGAUGUUAACAGCCAUCAUAUGUAGUUAUGAUGAAGAUAAAGGACAUAUUGCCCUACAGAUGAAAGAAAUAAGUUGUUGGGCUCCCAUUCCAAGAGUUAUUGACAUGAUAUUCCAAUCUCAUGAAUUUGACCUCGGAAAAUGUGAAAUUUUAAAAGCAGUAAAAAGUGUCCAUUUAAAAUUUGAUAAAAAUGAAGUCGCAGCCAAAUGCAUAAGAAAACAUUAUCGUGAGACUGAAUCUCUUUGUUCUAGCAAUUCAUUAAUAUUUAUUGAAUUAAACAUGGAGCAUACAAAGUUGAGCAUUGCAAAUCAAACUUUAAUGUGCCAUAAAGACAUUGAUCUGAAAAGAAGAAAUCCCCAGGAGACCAAUUACUACAAAUAUUUGUGCAUAAUUCACAAGUUCUAUAUGCUGAAUGACUUGUGAACCUGUGACAGGGUUUAAGGUAUUCUUCUGGGGAAGAUCACAGCUAUCUUUCAGCCGCCCAGCAUAUCAAAGGCACAAAAAACAUAUUAUGAUUUUCUAUCUAGUGUCUUUAUAAAAUGACUCACCAGAUAUUGCCACAAAAUCAAUUUCUUUUAGUUUUCCAUUAGAUCUGCUCAAUCAUCCUGUCUGAGGUAUAUUCAGUGUUAAUCAUCUCGAUGCCGCUAGCCCCACACAACUAAUGGCUACCGUCAUGUUAUACACAGGAAUACAGUUCAGUUCCAUCUACAUUUGUACAAGUAGGUGUAUUUUCUGGUGUCUUAAGGCUAAGAACCAUUUGCUUUUUUAAUUGAGCUGAGCUGAGUUCUUGUGCACUUUUAUUCUAUUGUUAGAAUUUUGCAUCAUGAUGCUGAAAGGUUUUGGCCAAGGCCAGGUGAUUUCCAUACAAGACUAAUGACAGUUGAAGUAACACGAGACAGGUGAUUUCCAUACAGGACUAAUGACAGUUGAAGUAAUACCAGACAGGUGAUUUCCAUACAAGACUAAUGACAGUUGAAGUAAUACCAGACAGGUGAUACUUGAAGUAAUACCAGGCAGGUGAUAGUUGAAGUAAUACCAGACAGGUGAUAGUUGAAGUAAUACCAGACAGGUGACAGUUGAAGUAAUACCAGGCAGGUGACAGUUGAAGUAAUACCAGACAGGUGACAGUUGAAGUAAUACCAGACAGGUGAUAGUUGAAGUAAUACAAGUUAGGUGAUAGUUGAAGUAAUACCAGACAGUUGAUACUUGAAGUAAUACCAGACAGGUGAUAGUUAAAGUAAUACCAGACAGGUGAUAGUUGAAGUAAUACCAGACAGGGGACAGUUGAAGUAAUACCAGACAGGUGACAGUUGAAGUAAUACCAGACAGGUGAUAGUUGAAGUAAUACCAGACAGGUGAUAGUUGAAGUAAUACCAGACAGGUGAUAGUUGAAGUAAUACCAGACAGGUGACAGUUGAAGUAAUACCAGACAGGUGAUAGUUGAAGUAAUACCAGACAGGUGAUAGUUGAGGUUUUACCAGACAGGGGAUAGUUGAAGUAAUACCAGACAGGUGAUAGUUGAAGUCAUACCAGACAGGUGAUAGUUGAAGUCAUACCAGACAGGUGAUAGUUGAAGUAAUACCAGACAGGUGAUAGUUGAGGUAAUACCAGACGGUUGAUAGUUGAAGUAAUACCAGACAGGUGAUAGUUGAAGUAAUACCAGACAGGUGACAGUUGAAGUAAUACCAGACAGGUGAUAGUUGAAGGAAUACCAGACAGGUGAUAGUUGAAGUAAUACCAGACUGAUGCUAGUUGAAGUAAUACCAGACAGGUGAUAGUUGAAGUCAUACCAGACAGGUGAUAGUUGAAGUCAUACCAGACAGGUGAUAGUUGAAGUAAUACCAGACAGGUGAUAGUCGAAGUAAUACAAGACAGGUGAAAGUCGAAGUAAUACCAGACAGGUGAUAGUUGAAUUAAUACCAGACAGGUGAUAGUUGAAGUAAUACCAGCCACGUGGUAGUUGAGGUAAUACCAGCCACGUGAUAGUUGAAGUAAUACAAGUUAGGUGAUAUUUGAAGUAAUACCAGACAGGUGAUGGUUGAAGUAACACCAGACAGGUGAUAGUUGAUGUAAUACCAGACAGGUGAUAGUUGAAGUAAUACCAGACAACUGCUAUCCUUGAUCCUAGUUGAAGUAAUACCAGACUGAUGCUAGUUGAAGUAAUACCAGACAGGUGAUAGUCGAGGUAAUACCAGACAGGUGAUAGUGGGCUCCUGUUGGUCAUAUAGAAGGCUCCACAUUCUUACUUCAAGUGGCUCCUGUUGGUCAUAUAGAAGGCUCCACAUUCUUACUUCAAGUGGCUCCUGUGGGUCAUAUAGAAGGCUCCACAUUCUUACUUCAAGUGGCUCCUGUUGGUCAUAUAGAAGGCUCCACAUUCUUACUUCAAGUGGCUCCUGUGGGUCAUAUAGAAGGCUCCACAUUCUUACUUCAAGUGGCUCCUGUGGGUCAUAUAGAAGGCUCCACAUUCUUACUUCAAGUGGCUCCUGUUGGUCAUAGAGAAGGCUCCACAUUCUUACUUCAAGUGGCUCCUGUGGGUCAUAUAGAAGGCUCCACAUUCUUACUUCAAGUGGCUCCUGUGGGUCAUAUAGAAGGCUCCACAUUCUUACUUCAAGUGGCUCCUGUUAGUCAUAGAGAAGGCUCCACAUUCUUACUUCAAGUGGCUCCUGUUGGUCAUAUAGAAGGCUCCACAUUCUUACUUCAAUUGGCUCCUGUUAGUCAUAUAGAAGGCACCACAUUCUUACUUCAAGUGGCUCCUGUUGGUCAUAUAGAAGGCUCCACAUUCUUACUUCAAGUGGCUCCUGUGGGUCAUAUAGAAGGCUCCACAUUCUUACUUCAAGUGGCUCCUGUUAGUCAUAUAGAAGGCACCACAUUCUUACUUCAAGUGGCUCCUGUGGGUCAUAUAGAAGGCACCCCAUUCUUACUUCAAGUGGCUCCUGUUGGUCAUAGAGAAGGCUCCACAUUCUUACUUCAAGUGGCUCCUGUGGGUCAUAUAGAAGGCUCCACAUUCUUACUUCAAGUGGCUCCUGUUGGUCAUAUAGAAGGCUCCACAUUCUUACUUCAAGUGGCUCCUGUUGGUCAUAUAGAAGGCUCCACAUUCUUACUUCAACUGGCUCCUGUUGGUCAUAUAGAAGGCUCCACAUUCUUAUUUCAAGUGGCUCCUGUAAGUCAUAGAGAAGGCACCACAUUCUUACUUCAAGUGGCUCCUGUUGGUCAUAUAGAAGGCUCCACAUUCUUACUUCAAUUGGCUCCUGUGGGUCAAAUAGAAGGCUCCACAUUCUUAUUUCAAGUGGCUCCUGUGGGUCAUAUAGAAGGCUCCACAUUCUUACUCUAGCUGGCUCCUUUUGUUCACCUUCAGGGUCUCGUGGAUAGAGUGUCUGCCUGGAGAGCAGAAGGUUGGUGUUUAGAUCCCCUGGUUGUCAUACCAACAAAAUGGUACUUGUUGUUACCCUGCCUUUGGCGAUCAGCAUUAAGGAGAUAAAACAAGGACUGGUUGGCUGAGAGUCAGUAUACAGUGUCUGAGCGAGGUAUCCAUUUUAUGGUCUCUCAGAACCCAAGCACUACAAAAGCAGCAUUAGUCAGGAAUAUUUCAGAUGGCGUUGAACUGUUUCCUGGUACAGAGUCGUGUUUAUCUUUUGAUAUAGGAUAUAUUUUCAGCUGCUGGUUAAUUUACCGAUUGAAAUAGAUGUUUUUCACAGCUCAUCUUCAUUAUCAUGCUAUCGUUGUGAUCAAGUUUCUGUCUACUGAAGCUACUUGCAUCAUUUAAGAUACAGACUUCCAGAAAACACACCUUGACAAAUGUUAAAGUGCAUAUACACCAGCAGAAUAUGAACCCAGCUUAAACAGUUUUCUUUCUGUCAGGGGUACAAGGUUGCAUGCUGUAGAAUUAUUCUGUUUAUUUUGAAUGUGUUCCUAGACAUUUCUGUGUUGUGUUGAAGCAUGAUAUGUUUGACAAAUGUGGCAUCAUAUCUGAUACUGCAUCAGUGGCUGUAUCUGUGGGGGCACCUGCAGUGAUAGAGGGGAAUAUUAUUCUGUAUGCACCAACUUGUUCUCUGAUUGCAUUCCCGGAUGCCAGGAUUGUCUGGCAUCAACCACCAGGACCUGUUGUCAUGCCAACACAGUUCUGGUAUUAAUCAAACCAUUUACGUAGAUUUACCAAGAAAAUUGUGGUAUGUCAUAUUGACAUGUGGUGAUAUAGAGACAGGCGACAAUGUACAAUUCAUAUUGAUAUGUGACAUGAGAUAUGUGACAAUACAGAGAUGUGUGACAAUACUGAGAUAUGUGACAAUACAGAGAUGUGUGACAAUACAGAGAUAUGUGACAAUACAGAGAUAUGUGACAAUACAGAGAUAAGUGACAAUACUGAGAUAUGUGACAAUACCAAGAUAUGUGACAAUACAGAGAUAUGUGACAAUACAGAGAUAUGUGACAAUACUGAGAUAUGUGACAAUACAGAGAUAUGUGACAAUACAGAGAUAAGUGACAAUACAGAGAUAUGUGACAAUACAGAGAUAAGUGACAAUACAGAGAUAUGUGACAAUACAGAGAUAUGUGACAAUACAGAGAUAUACUGAGAUAUGUGACAAUACAGAGAUAUGUGACAAUACAGAGAUAAGUGACAAUACUGAGAUAUGUGACAAUAUAGAGAUGUGUGACAAUACAGAGAUAUGUGACAAUACAGAGAUAUGUGACAAUACAGAGAUAUGUGACAAUACAGAGAUACAUCUAUAUGACAGUUAAGAUAUAUGUUGCUGUAUGACAAUAUGAAAAUGAGUCCAUAUUCUUUCUCAAUAGGGGGCAGUGGGGUAGCCUAGUGGUUAAAGCGUUUUCUUAUCACGCUGAAGACCUGGGUUCGAUUCCCACAUGGGUACAAUGAGUGAAGCCCAUUUCUGGUGUCCCCCAUCCUGAUAUUAAAGGAAUAUUGCUAAAAGUGGCAUAAAACCAUACUAACUCAAUCACUCGAUUGUAUCUCUUCGAUUGUAUCUUCCACAGUAGAUCUUAAAACUGCUCCAACAGACUGGGAUUCCUCUUUUUCCAUAUUUAAUACUAUUUUCAUAUCGCAGUGGGGGGCACGGGUGGCCCAGUCGUCUAAGGCGCCGCGAUUCGCUGUGCAGAGUUGCGUCCCUUGGGCACGCCAGAAACCUAUGAUUGUGGGUUCGAAU
This 7936-nucleotide unclassified non-coding RNA is filed under the name Haliotis rufescens (red abalone). RNAcentral's name for it is "uncharacterized LOC124118398, transcript variant X1". Lineage: Eukaryota; Metazoa; Mollusca; Gastropoda; Lepetellida; Haliotidae. The record is from RNAcentral.